UUAAGUAUUGAACUUAGCAUUUAGAAAGGGAGGGAGAUUUAUUCGAGCUACAUGUUUCUUUUAAAUGGGGACGGUUGAAGCUGGCUGACCGCGAGGAGAAGGAGAGGCGCAACCGCUGUGUUCGGCCGGAUCGAAUAGGGCCGACGGUGACAGAAUUCUGCUGCUCACCGGACGAGGUCAGGGGAGAACCCCGGCGAUAACAACAACUCGCUGAGCCAGGGUCGGCAACACGACGAUGCAGUGACCCUCGCCGAUUCCAGAGUAACGAUCGAUGCGACAACUUCACAAAGGUGAAAAUAGGUGGCGUCUUCGGCUUCGCUUCUAGAGAAAGAGGGACGGCGCUGAACGCCGGAUUUCAGAAGCCACGACGAUGAUUCCAGGGGAAUUUCAGAGGCAGAGGUGGUGGACGCUGAUGAAGAAGGAUUAGGGCUCGAUUUUGUGCUCCACUGAAAUUGAAGGAUAAGGGACAACAUCAGAGACGAGGGCGUCGGCAUCGCCGAUUCCCGAAUCACCCAGAUUCAGGGGCGCGACCACUCGCCUGUCCUUCGACGGCGGCGGCGAACUCUGAUGAGAGGGGGAGUCGGCCCGAUUUGGUGAAAGGAUCGAAGCAGUGGCGGCGAAUCUCCCGGCCUUCCAGUUGCGGCGGCGGCGGGCGCCUCGGCUGGAGACGGAUCGAGAGAGAGAGAGAACCGAAGGGAACGGCUCCAAGAGAGAGAAAAAAAGAAGCAUCGGCCUUGAGGAAGAGAGGGAGUGUCGGUUCUUUGAGAAAGAGAGAGUGACCGAGAGUUAGAAAAUGAGAGAGAGGUUGAUGAGUUGGGUUGGGCUCCAGCUUUGGGCCUUGUAUUUUUUUUAAGUUGGGCCGAAAAUUUUGAGCUUGUGUUUUAAAGAUUUGGGCUUGAUUUUAUUGUAAUGACUUGG
Molecule: long non-coding RNA, 918 nt
Filed under: Salvia miltiorrhiza (redroot sage)
Lineage: Eukaryota; Viridiplantae; Streptophyta; Magnoliopsida; Lamiales; Lamiaceae
Description: long non-coding RNA (SMIL_LNC014235)
Source: RNAcentral